RNAcentral lists this long non-coding RNA (1210 nucleotides) under Homo sapiens (human). Its description in RNAcentral is "MIR9-1 host gene". Lineage: Eukaryota; Metazoa; Chordata; Mammalia; Primates; Hominidae. The record is from RNAcentral.
GUACCAUUCUGGGCCCCAGCUUCCACCAAAUAUCGGGACCCCAGCCCUGGAAACCAACCCCCAAAUUGCUCUCCCUCCUCUAGGAAAAAGAUAAUUUAUCUCCCACUUUGACUCUGUGGUCCCACCCCUUCUCUUCUCUUGUCUAGACUUCCAAGUGCUGGCCUUCAUCUCCCCGCAAGAUGCGCCCCCUCCAACUCUCAGCCUUCAUCUUCCUACUGUCACUGUCUCCUUCACAAGGAGAGCAGCAAGAGAAAGAAAGAGAGAGGCAAGCGAAAUUCCUGAAUGGAUAGACAGAUGCUACGUCAUCGGAGCUGCAUCCUCCACUCCACAAGAGGCUAGGAGCUGGGGGGAGAGAGGCAGUCCAGCCGCAGGGGCCACCCGAACAGUCUCUCCUCCUCACAGAAGCCUGGAGCUGGGCAUCCAAGAAGAAGCAGCCUCAUUUGUUUUCUGGUGUCAUCGUAGGUGGCCACCUAUGGCUUUUGGGCUUCUCACCUGGGGCGGGUGGGUUCUGCACCACCCUCCCACCCUCCUUCCUCCGUGUGGACGAUAGAGCCACAUCCAGCACCACGGACAGCUCCCGGGCGCCUUCAUCUCCUCGUCCUCCAGGCAGCACAAGCCAUUGUGGAAUCUCCACCAGGUGUACAGAACGGUGCCUCUGCGUCCUGCCACUCAGGACCUCUCAAGUCCCCGAUGUGAUGGCUCCUCAGCAUGAUCAGGAGUGAGCGUAAUUCAGACCUAUUUAGAUCCGUCAGCCCACGGACCAGGGGGACCUUGAGCAGGACAGUCUUUUGUCUCCAAGCAGUCAUUCCCUGUUAUACAAGCAAGAGUCAGGAGGAGGAAUGGUUUUGGCAUCAUCCCCCACAGACAGCAAUGGGGCCUUUAGGCCUGGAAGGAAGGACCAGGCUGCGGCUGGCAUAUGGAGGUUGAGCCCUGGGCACGGGGCAUCAGCUUCACCCGGCUGGGGAUGCCUUCUGCUGGGUUUGUCCAUCUGGCACCAGCUGGCUUCCCAGCACCGCCCCCACAACCAACCAGACUCCUCCUUCUGCUGUUGCCAUGGCAAUUGGCUGCCAUAUUGUACCUCAGAGCACUAGCUCCUAUCUGGAUUUUCCCGCGGGGUUCCUAGAGGGUGGGAGAUGGGUCUCCAGGGAUUUAUCCCUUUCCCCUGAUAUCUAUCCAAUAAAAAUUCAUAAUAACAUAUGAUUUUUUAAUA